GAUGAACGCUGGCGGCGUGCCUAAUACAUGCAAGUCGAGCGAACAGACGAGGAGCUUGCUCCUCUGACGUUAGCGGCGGACGGGUGAGUAACACGUGGAUAACCUACCUAUAAGACUGGGAUAACUUCGGGAAACCGGAGCUAAUACCGGAUAAUAUAUUGAACCGCAUGGUUCAAUAGUGAAAGACGGUUUUGCUGUCACUUAUAGAUGGAUCCGCGCCGCAUUAGCUAGUUGGUAAGGUAAAGGCUUAUCAAGGCAACGAUGCGUAGCCGACCUGAGAGGGUGAUCGGCCACACUGGAACUGGGACACGGUCCAGACUCCUACGGGAGGCAGCAGUAGGGAAUCUUCCGCAAUGGGCGAAAGCCUGACGGAGCAACGCCGAGUGAGUGAUGAAGGUCUUCGGAUCGUAAUACUCUGUUAUUAGGUAAGAACAAAUGUGUAAGUAACUAUGCACGUCUUGACGGUACCUAAUCAGAAAGCCACGGCUAACUACGUG
Molecule: ribosomal RNA, 497 nt
Filed under: uncultured bacterium
Lineage: Bacteria
Description: partial 16S ribosomal RNA
Rfam family: Bacterial small subunit ribosomal RNA
Source: RNAcentral